AGGUGGUUAGGUAGAGAAUACCAAGGCGAUCGAGUGAAUCGUGGUUAAGGAACUCGGCAAAAUACCCCCGUAACUUCGGGAGAAGGGGGGCCCAGAGGGUGACGGAGACUAGCGCUCCUGAGCCUGAACGGCCGCAGAGACCAGGGAGAAGCGACUGUCUACUAAAAACACAGGUCCGUGCCAAGUCGCAAGACGAUGUAUACGGACUGACGCCUGCCCGGUGCUGGAACGUUAAGGGGACCGGUCAGCCUCACGGCGAAGCUGAGAACUUAAGCGCCAGUAAACGGCGGUGGUAACUAUAACCAUCCUAAGGUAGCGAAAUUCCUUGUCGGGUAAGUUCCGACCUGCACGAAUGGCGUAACGACUUCUCCACUGUCUCAACCACGAACUCGGCGAAAUUGCACUACGAGUAAAGAUGCUCGUUACGCGCAGAAGGACGGAAAGACCCCGGGACCUUUACUACAGCUUGGUAAUGGUGUUCGGAACGGCUUGUGUAGGAUCGGUGGGAGGCUUCGAAGCUGAUACGCCAGUAUCGGUGGAGCCAACGUUGAAAUACCACUCUGGUCGUUCUGGAUGUCUAACCUAGGUCCGUAAUCCGGAUCAGGGACAGUGCCUGGUGGGUAGUUUAACUGGGGCGGUUGCCUCCUAAAAGGUAACGGAGGCGCCCAAAGGUUCCCUCAGCCUGGUUGGCAAUCAGGUUUUGAGUGUAAGUGCACAAGGGAGCUUGACUGUGAGACUGACAAGUCGAACAGGGACGAAAGUCGGGACUAGUGAUCCGGCGGUGGCUUGUGGAAGCGCCGUCGCUCAACGGAUAAAAGGUACCCCGGGGAUAACAGGCUGAUCUUGCCCAAGAGUCCAUAUCGACGGCAUGGUUUGGCACCUCGAUGUCGGCUCGUCGCAUCCUGGGGCUGGAGUAGGUCCCAAGGGUUGGGCUGUUCGCCCAUUAAAGCGGUACGCGAGCUGGGUUUAGAACGUCGUGAGACAGUUCGGUCCCUAUCCUCUGCGCGCGCAGGAAACUUGAGAAGAGCUGUCCCUAGUACGAGAGGACCGGGAUGGACGAACCUCUGGUGUGUCAGUUGUUCUGCCAAGAGCACCGCUGAUUAGCUACGUUCGGAAGUGAUAACCGCUGAAAGCAUCUAAGCGGGAAGCAUGCUUCAAGAUGAGGUUUCCAUGGGGUUUACCCCGAGAGGCUCCCAGCUAGACUACUGGGUUGAUAGGCCGGAUGUGGAAGUGCGGUAACGCACGGAGCUGACCGGUACUAAUAAGCCGAUAACUUGACC
Molecule: ribosomal RNA, 1280 nt
Filed under: metagenome
Description: bacterial LSU rRNA
Rfam family: Bacterial large subunit ribosomal RNA
Source: RNAcentral